GUCCACGACGGUUUGAGGAUAUUACCUAUCAGGAAGGGUAACGAUUCAGAUGCCGAUUCCAAAUUUAGAACCCUGUUUCCUGAACGGUGAAUUGUCUAAGAUAAUUCCCCAAUUGAAAUAUUCGAAAUGAGGAGCCUUCUAGGCUUCUACCAUGUGUUCUUGCAAAAGACGGAUAAGGGCCAUAACUCAUUAGGGAGACACAGAAAGAGAGGGAUGGCGGGUAACAAAGCUUUAGCUUUAUCCGUUGCUCCUCUCAUCCUCGGUGAAUAUUCAACCUCCUUUCCUUCGUCUUCUUCGUCACCUCUUUCCUUUUCAUAUCAUUACAACUCUUCCUCUUCUGCUUCUGGUUUCGGUGUUACUGCUCCUUUUAUUUGUCGGUCUUGCACCACUGCAUUUGGUCACCCUUCCUCUGUUCCUUUAUUGCGUAAGAACAUAGCAGCAGCACCUUCUCUUCUUUUCUCCUUUUCUUCCAGAAAGCAGAUUUGCAGGGCAGCGGAGUACACAUUUCCAGACCCCAUUCCCGAAUUUGCCGAAUCCGAAACAGAGAAGUUUCGAACCCAUCUUCAUAAGAAGCUGUCAAAGAAGUCCAUUUUUGGAGAUUCUGUAGAAGAAGUUACAGAAAUCUGCUCGGAGGUGUCAAAUUUUGAUUGGGAGUUGAGGAAAUUCGUGCAAGAAACUUCUUCAGUCCCAGUUAUCGUAGAUGAUUCUUUAAACAUUUCCAAGGGAGAAAAAGAAUGGCUGCUGAACAAGUUGGGACCACAGAAUGACAUUUGAGUUGUCCAAAUCAUGGCAGAAAGAUAAAAUGAGUCUUACCAUGAACUUUCCACCAUUUGGGCUCAAAAGCUUUUCUGCCAAUCAAAUUGAUUUAGUGAACAUGGAAAAAGAAGAUGAGAAGAAGAACGCUUUCUGUUGGUGAUAUUCAACACUUUCUUGCACACUGAAUAUGGAGGUCCUGGAACCCUGUUAGUCACCCCUUUCAUUGACAUGGCUGAUACUCUGAACGAAAGAGGGCUGCCUGGGGCUCCACAAGCUGCACGUGCAGCAGUAGUAUGGGC
Molecule: RNA transcript, 1055 nt
Organism: Macadamia integrifolia
Lineage: Eukaryota; Viridiplantae; Streptophyta; Magnoliopsida; Proteales; Proteaceae
Gene name: protein PLASTID REDOX INSENSITIVE 2, chloroplastic
Exons: 4
Source: RefSeq, a predicted model, not a curated record